Long non-coding RNA from Mustela lutreola (European mink), 5686 nucleotides. RefSeq lists it as uncharacterized. The record is from RefSeq and is a predicted model, not a curated record. The transcript has 2 exons. NCBI's taxonomy places the organism in Eukaryota, Metazoa, Chordata, Mammalia, Carnivora, Mustelidae.
AAAAGAUGGCUCAAUAUCAUAUUAGAUGAAGAAAAAGCAAUGUAUAUUUAUAUAUAUAAACAUAUUUAGGAGUUAAAAUAUUGCUUUAGUUUUUAAUUGGUUAAAAUAUUAUAUGAAUUUAUUUAAAAGGCUAGAAGAAAAUAUGGCAAAAUCGUGGUGGUUCUGGAUUUCCAAAAAUGCUCUAGUGAUCAUAAAGUACUUAUCUAAUCAAAAUAAGAUAAAAUAAUUAUGGACCAGGGGGAAAAACUAAAAAUCAAGCUGAGGAUGUACAUACUGAGUUUUAGUUCUAUGAAAGAAAUGAAAAAUUAUACUAUAGCUACAGAUGUUACCAUCUCCAGAUUUCGAAUAUGUUUUUCAACUAUCUCAAGGGGACUUGGAGCAAGAAAGGACAGAUGGCUGAGUGGAGCCAACUUCCAGUGCUAGAAAAGUAACACAGAGUACUGUUGUGCUGAUGCCACACCUGUGGUAGCCACUUUGAGCAAAGAAGAAUGGCACACACGGUUUCCCCUCCUGCUGCACGUAGAGUAUAGCAGUCCUCUCUGUGCAGGAAGGAAAAGUAUACACUCCAGAGCAUCUAAGAAGGUAUAUCAGUUUCCUAGAGCUGCCAAAACAAAGUGCCACAGAUGGAGGCUUAAACAGCCACAGUUUAUUUUCUCAAGGUUCCAGUGGCUGAAAGUCUGGGAUCAAGGUAUGUAUGGGGUUGGCUUCUUCUAGAGCCUCUCUCCUUAGCUUAUGAUGGUUGCCUUUUUGCUGUGUUCUCACAUGGAUUCUCCUCUGUCUGUGUCCUGAUCUUUUCUUUCCUUUUUUUUUUUUUUUUUUAAGAUUUUUUUUAUUUAUUUGACAGAGAGAGAUCACAAGUAGGCAGAGAGGCAGGAAGAGAGAGAGAGAGGAGGAAGCAGGGUCCCUGCUGAGCAGAGAGCCCGAUGUGGGGCUCGAUCCCAGGACCCUGAGAUCAUGACCUGAGCUGAAGGCAGAGGCUUAACCCACUGAACCACCCAGGUGCCCCGUCCUGAUCUUUUCUUAUGAGGAUACCAAUCCUAUUGGAUUAAGAUUGACCCUAAUGACCUCAUUUUUUUUUUUAAAGAUUUUAUUCAUUUAUUUGACAGACAGAGAUCACAAGUAGGCAGAGAGGCAGGCAGAGAGAGGAGGAAGCAGGCUCCCUGCUGAGCAGAGAGCCCGAUGUGGGGCUUGAUCCCAGGACUCUGGGAUCAUGACCUGAGCCGAAGGCAGAGGCUUUAACCCACUGCGCCACCCAGGCACCCCCCUAAAGGCCUCAUUUUAACUUAAUUACUUCUUUAAAGACCUUAAAUCCAAACAUAGUCACAUUCUGAGGCUCUGAGUGUUGGGACUUCAGCAUGAAUUUUGGGGAUGCAGCCCAUAACAGGGUGAGGAACUGGCUGGAGAAGGUGGUUUUUUUAGUGUAAUAAUACUGAUCAAGGGCAUCUGGAUGGCACAGUUGGUUAAGUGUUGUACUGCUGGAUUUGGCUCUGGUCAUGAUCUUAGGGUCAUGAGAUCGAGCCCCACAUCAGCCUCCACACCCAGCAUGACUCUGCUUGAGAUUCUCUCUCCCUUUCCCUCUGUCUUUCCCCCCACCCUGUGCAUUUGCUCUCUCUAAAAUAAAUAAAUCUUAAAAAAAAAAAAAAAAGAAUGUUGAUCAAGAUACUUGGGAUGGACAUUCAGUUGCUGGGUUACUUGUGAGAGAUGUACUGUGACUGGACAGGCAGACAGCUUUCAAAAGGGUACAGUAGAACUGGUAAAAGUGUAGUUAGCUAUGUUUCCAGAAACUUUUGGCCAUUUGGCUCUAUUUACAUUUUGCCUGAUUGAAGAAAACCAUCUUAAGGCUUACCUCUAGAUUGGGACUUUUUCUAGCAGUGUCAUGAAAAUUUAUGUAAAGAUUAUUAGAACUGAAGAAGAUUAAGAGAAUAGAAGAUCUGUUAAAUAGCCUAAAUGAGCUUUUUGUGACUCUCCUUUUAUUUAGAUACAUGAAUUCCAUCAUGCUGGCCUGGGGAGAUCUAUUAGAAAGUAAAUUUAUAUCAGCAGCCAACAACUGCAUUUCAAGAACCAAUGUCUGAAUGCCCAAAUGUAAAGAAUGAUAUGGGUCCUCAGGCAUUUCUUUCCUUGCCUCUAUGGGAAAAUGGAGUAGUCCUUGGAAGGUGAUCUAAGAAAUGAGGACAAGUAUAGCGAUAGCAAACAACGACAACACAAAUCUCAAUCUGCCUUGGCUUUCUCUACAGUCGGAGAAUUCUGAACUUGAGCCAGAGAACUCUAUUUCGUUCUGCAGCAGGCUCCCAUCCCUUUGGAAAAGACAGAUACCACAAGUAGGCAGAGAGGCAGGCAGAGAGAGGGGGCAAGCAGACUCCUAACCGAGCAGAGAGCCCGAUGCGGGGCUCGAUCCCAGGACCCCGGGACCAUGACCCGAGCCGAAGGCAGAGGCUUUAACCCACUGAGCCACCCAGGCGCCCCUGGAGCAGCUAUUUUCAACUGUCACCUCUACAUGGUGAGUUCUUCGAUCUACAUUUCUCAGUUAACCUCGACCACUCCUGGUCUCUAUUUCCGUUACUUACUGGGCAUGUCCAUCUGGAAGUUCCACCUUCCAGGCUCCCUGGACUCACUGGGCCCAGAAGACUUUAUGCUUCCUUGCAAACUCAUUUCUCCUGUGCUCCCUGUUUCUCUUCAUGCUUGGACAUUGGACACUCUGGUUACCUCGGCUCUCGGUAGGUCCGUCUCAGCUCAGCUGCAUGCAGGUAUGGCAUGGGGCAGGAGGGGAGUCUUACAUAAGCAUGCAUGGGCCUCACUUGGAAUCUUGAGGGUGAGAGCCAGCCUUCCCCAGUUUAAAAGCUCCUUAGGUGAUUCAGUCUUGCAGCCAAGCUUGAGAACCACUUCUCCAGGCCUUGGGGCAUCUCGGACUCUUCCGGAUGCAAGCUGGCAGUCACAGGGCUGGUCUAUGACUUACCCCUAAAAUAUCUCGGGGACCCGUCGCCUCCUUUCUGACCCUGUGUUCUCCCCUUGGCUUAAACAUCAUUAAAGCACCUCUUGGCCUCUCAUUUUCUCCCUUUCUACUCAUGCCAGACAGAUUCUCCCUCUUGUCUGGUUCUGAACAUAUGAACCCUCAUUUCAAAACCCUCCCAGCGGCCAUGUGCCUCGGUCCUGGUUAUGCAGGCCCAUGGCCAGGUGCUAGCUCUCUCCGCCAGGUUUAUACCCACCACCCCCCGUAAGAAACGUUAGGACAGCCCGGACAAACUUGCUUGCCCUUCCUCCUAUCUGCCGCCACACUUCCUGCCUCUGUGCCUUUGCACACACAGUCUCUGCUCCCUUUCUUCUGUACUGCACAUGUCUGCCUCCCAGGCUUUCACGAAGGGCCGCCCCUCAUCUUUCCAGCUGGGAGCAGUGUCCUUCUCCUCGGAAAUGUGUUCAGACUUCUAUGUUCUCUGUCAGAGAACCACUGCAGGGAAAACAGUUUACAAAUUAACGGAUUCUUGUUCUGCAUUUCCUUUAGUAGUCAAAACUAGUUACUUGCUUUACGAGGACAGGGGUGCUCAAGAUUGAGUAACGCUAAGGAUCACCUGGGGAACUCAUUUAAAAUGCAUAUUCCUGGGCUAAUUUCCAGAGAGUCUCAAAAUGCAAGAACGAAUGCUCUAGCAGAAGCUCCCCACCCUGCAAGGUUUUCCAGAUGGUGCUCCUGUGACCGUACUCGGAGAAAUGCUCAGAUGGGAGGUUCUUUCUAAUUUCAUGUCGGUUGGAUCCCUGACCUUACUGACAUGUUGAAAUUCUGUAAUAUAAAUCCAAGGGCAGCCUGCACAGUAGCAUAUUGUUAAUAUUGUUAAUAGUUCACAUAACUCUAAGGAUGGGCAGACUGGGUAAGUGAGUGAAGUGGCCUCAGUGCUGGGGGGUCUCAGGAAGUGGCGGGAGCCACGACGGAGCCGGGAGGGUCCCAGCUCUUUACCUCUGGGUCCUUGUUUCCACUUCAGAACGGGAAACGAGUAAUGCCUGAUCUUUCCGUUUUCUCGGAAAGCUGGAGAUCCAGAUGCUCAUGUGGUAUUUCCAGAUUAUGUUUUUAAAAAUGCUGUAAGUUUUGAUACAAUACCUUGAGCCUUUGCAACCCUGACUUCAAUCAACAAUUUAAUCAUAACCGAAGUAUAAAUAGAAGUAAAUACUUUGUGCUGGUUUGUUUUGCUGCAAGGGUGACAUGCGAUAUUUUCUCAUCUGUCAAUUGACAAGUGCAAUCUGUAGAACACAGACAAGGACAUUUGAGGAUUUCAUAAAUCAUUAAUUGUUCUAGAGAUGGGUCUACCCUCUCACUUUACAGAGGCAAGAACUGAGAUCCAGAGAAGUUAAGGGAGUUAUACGACGUCUAGUAAACUGACUUAAUUUUGCUUUUCUGAUCUGUAAAAUAUGAAAUGUAUGUAAAUAUACCUACAUGGUCAUGGGCUGAAUGUUUGUGCCCCCCGCGCCCCACAAAUUCACAUGUUGAAAUCCUUCCCUCCAAUGUGGGCGUGCUGGGAGGUGGGGCCCGGGGAGGUGAUCAGAUCAUGAGCCUAGAGCCUUCACGAAGGGGAUCAGAGCCUUUACUGAGGGGACCCCAGAGAGCCCCAUCUUUCUGUCACACUUUCUGUGUUUCUACACAACUGGAAGACUGCGGACACAACCUGGAGGAGACCCUCACAAGAACUCCCCAAUGCUGGCGCCAGAUCUCAGACUUCACCUUCCAGAACCGUCUAAGCGGCCAGGGGUAGGGCACCUUUUCAUGGCAGCAGGGAUGGAUGACACACAGUGACUGGGCUCUUGCUGCGUGGGAGACUCUGGGCACCACUGAAUUUUAGCUCCUGUUGUUCCUGAGUUCAAGAUCAGCCUCAUACAAGCCUCGCUUCAGACUCUCCCCAUUGGUUGUCUCUGCCUCAGCCUUCAUGCAAUGAGAUGAUUUUUAUGAAGACAUGGUUUUUUGUUUUUUUUUUAAAUUAGCGAGUUUCAACUAGUUUGUAGAGUAAUUUGGUCAAGUACUUGAGCCUUGCUGAAGUAGUUUCCUUAUUGCCUAAAAAAAGUUGCCCUAGGGGCGCCCGGGUGGCUCAGUCAGUUAAGUGUCUGCCUUUGGCUCAGGUCAUGAUCUCGGUCCUGGGAUCGAGCCCUGUGUCGGGCUCCCUGCUUGGUGGGGUCUGCUUCUCCCUCUGCCUGCCACUCCCCUUGCUUGUGUUCUCUCUCUCUGACAAAUAAGUUCUUUUUUUUUUUUUUUUUCCAUUUUAAAGAUUUUACUUAUUUAUUUGACAGAGAAACACAAGAGGGGAAACACAUGCAAGGGGGAGUGGGAGAAGCAGGCUCUCCGCGGAGCAGGGAGCCCGACUAGGGGCUCAAUCCCAGGACCCUGGGACCAUGACCUGAGCUGAAGGCAGCUUCACUGACUGAGCCAUCCAGGCGCCCUUCUGCCAAAUAAAUUCUUUUUAAAAAAAAAAAGUCCUUUUUGAUGUUUAAGAUCCUGUUUAGUUCUAUAAUUCUAUUAUUUUUAUGAUUCAAUUCGUAGACUUUAAAAAUAAAUGUUUAAGCCGUGAAUCACAGUUUUUAUGUGUCUGAAUAAGCCUUACCUACCAAUUUAGAGAUUGGAAAAAAUAUGUAUACAUUUGUUCAUAGUUUUAAUACUCAGGGAGAAUAAUUAGUUUCUCUAUUAAAGACCAACAACUGUAUUCUAAAUUAUAAA